GACGAACGCUGGCGGCGUGCUUAACACAUGCAAGUCGAACGGUGACGAGGAGCUUGCUCCUCUGAUCAGUGGCGAACGGGUGAGUAACACGUGAGCAACCUGCCCCAGACUCUGGGAUAACAGUUGGAAACAGCUGCUAAUACCGGAUACGAGACGGAGAGGCAUCUCUACCGUCUGGAAAGUUUUUCGGUCUGGGAUGGACUCGCGGCCUAUCAGCUAGUUGGUGAGGUAAUGGCUCACCAAGGCGACGACGGGUAGCCGGCCUGAGAGGGCGACCGGCCACACUGGGACUGAGACACGGCCCAGACUCCUACGGGAGGCAGCAGUGGGGAAUAUUGCACAAUGGGCGAAAGCCUGAUGCAGCGACGCCGCGUGAGGGAUGACGGCCUUCGGGUUGUAAACCUCUUUCAGCAGGGAAGAAGCGCAAGUGACGGUACCUGCAGAAGAAGCACCGGCUAACUACGUG
This 466-nucleotide ribosomal RNA is filed under the name uncultured bacterium. RNAcentral describes it as "bacterial SSU rRNA". It matches the Rfam family "Bacterial small subunit ribosomal RNA", at positions 28 to 507 of the family's 1533-position model. The record is from RNAcentral.